ACCUUCUGUCACAUCACUAUGAGCCAUGAGCCUGUCAGGUCUCACAAGCUAAGCAGAGUGGGACAGAGUCCACACUUACAUGGGAGACCUCUAAGGUGUGAUUAGAUGAUACAGAAAGGG
Ribosomal RNA from Chelonoidis abingdonii (Abingdon island giant tortoise), 120 nucleotides. Lineage: Eukaryota; Metazoa; Chordata; Testudines; Testudinidae. The record is from Ensembl.